GGUGGCUCAGUGGUAGAGUGCUUGCCUUGCAUGCAUGAGAUUCUGGGUUCAAUUCCUCAGCACCA
Molecule: transfer RNA, 65 nt
Filed under: Dipodomys ordii (Ord's kangaroo rat)
Lineage: Eukaryota; Metazoa; Chordata; Mammalia; Rodentia; Heteromyidae
Rfam family: tRNA
About the family: Transfer RNA (tRNA) molecules are approximately 80 nucleotides in length. Their secondary structure includes four short double-helical elements and three loops (D, anti-codon, and T loops). Further hydrogen bonds mediate the characteristic L-shaped molecular structure. tRNAs have two regions of fundamental functional importance: the anti-codon, which is responsible for specific mRNA codon recognition, and the 3' end, to which the tRNAs corresponding amino acid is attached (by aminoacyl-tRNA synthetases). tRNAs cope with the degeneracy of the genetic code in two manners: having more than one tRNA (with a specific anti-codon) for a particular amino acid; and 'wobble' base-pairing, i.e. permitting non-standard base-pairing at the 3rd anti-codon position.
Source: Rfam by way of RNAcentral